This 444-nucleotide ribosomal RNA is filed under the name uncultured Nitrosomonas sp. RNAcentral's name for it is "bacterial SSU rRNA". It matches the Rfam family "Bacterial small subunit ribosomal RNA", at positions 198 to 620 of the family's 1533-position model. Lineage: Bacteria; Pseudomonadati; Pseudomonadota; Betaproteobacteria; Nitrosomonadales; Nitrosomonadaceae. The record is from RNAcentral.
GGAGGAAAGUAGGGGAUCGCAAGACCUUGCGCUAAAGGAGCGGCCGAUGUCUGAUUAGUUAGUUGGUGGGGUAAAGGCCUACCAAGGCAACGAUCAGUAGCUGGUCUGAGAGGACGAUCAGCCACACUGGGACUGAGACACGGCCCAGACUCCUACGGGAGGCAGCAGUGGGGAAUUUUGGACAAUGGGCGAAAGCCUGAUCCAGCCAUGCCGCGUGAAUGAAGAAGGCCUUCGGGUUGUAAAGUUCUUUUAGUUGGAAAGAAAAAAUUAUGAUGAAUAAUCAUAAUUCAUGACGGUACCGACAGAAAAAGCACCGGCUAACUACGUGCCAGCAGCCGCGGUAAUACGUAGGGUGCAAGCGUUAAUCGGAAUUACUGGGCGUAAAGGGUGUGCAGGCGGCCUUGUAAGUCAGAUGUGAAAGCCCCGGGCUUAAACGCCUUGGGA